AGAGCAGCUGAUUCGUAAUCAGCAGGUCGGCAGUUCGAGUCUGCCCAGUAGCUCCA
Molecule: transfer RNA, 56 nt
Filed under: Oscillospiraceae bacterium
Lineage: Bacteria; Bacillati; Bacillota; Clostridia; Eubacteriales; Oscillospiraceae
Description: tRNA-Ser
Rfam family: tRNA
About the family: Transfer RNA (tRNA) molecules are approximately 80 nucleotides in length.
Source: RNAcentral